This is a long non-coding RNA of Oncorhynchus tshawytscha (Chinook salmon), 418 nucleotides long. The record is from Ensembl. Lineage: Eukaryota; Metazoa; Chordata; Actinopteri; Salmoniformes; Salmonidae.
GCUGAGGUAAAGUUCCUGAGGUAAGAUUCCUGAGGUAAGAUUCCUGAGGUAAAGUUCCUGAGGUAAGAUUGCUGAGGUAAAGUUCCUGAGGUAAGAUUGCUGAGGUAAGAUUGCUGAGGUAAAGUUCCUGAGGUAAGAUUGCUGAGGUAAAGUUCUUGAGGUAAGAAUGCUGAGGUAAGAAUGCUGAGGUAAGAAUGCUGAGGUAAGAUUGCUGAUGUAAGAUUGCUGAGGUAAAGUUCCUGAGGUAAAGUUCCUGAGGUAAGAUGGCGGUCGGUGUAUGUUUUGAUCACCUGUUUUCCGUGUAAAAACGGAGCAACUUGAAAACUGUCUUUUUUGUUUGUUUAUUUUUUUCAUACGAAACCAAAAAAAAUCUACUUGAUAUUUCGGCAUUCACAUGUGGGUGGGGUUAAAUGUGGAA